CCCUUAGAUGUUCUGGGCUGCACGCGUGCUACACUGAUAUUGCCAAUAUGUCAUUCUUAUCCGAAAUGGAUUGGGUAAUCAAGUAAUGAAAUUUCAUGCUUGGAAUCGGUAAUUGCAAUUUUAUCGUGAACGAGGAAUUCCUAGUAAGCACUAGUCAUCAGCUAAUGUUGAUUAUGUCCCUGCCCUUUGUACACACCGCCCGUCGCUACUACUGAUUGGGUGUUCAAGUGAGAUGCCUAGACCCUUGUUGCAUGGUUCAUUAUUGCGCUCCGAAAGGAAAAAGUUUCAAGCUUGAGUGUCUAGAGGAAGUAAAAGUCGUAACA
This 323-nucleotide ribosomal RNA is filed under the name uncultured eukaryote. RNAcentral's name for it is "partial 18S ribosomal RNA". It matches the Rfam family "Eukaryotic small subunit ribosomal RNA", at positions 1470 to 1796 of the family's 1831-position model. The record is from RNAcentral.